AGCAGCAUUGUACAGGGCUAUC
RNAcentral lists this non-coding RNA (22 nucleotides) under Cyprinus carpio (common carp). Its record names the gene ccr-miR-107. RNAcentral also lists the same sequence under 17 other names. Lineage: Eukaryota; Metazoa; Chordata; Actinopteri; Cypriniformes; Cyprinidae. The record is from miRBase by way of RNAcentral.